RNAcentral lists this ribosomal RNA (216 nucleotides) under Acinetobacter baumannii. Its description in RNAcentral is "partial 23S ribosomal RNA". It matches the Rfam family "Bacterial large subunit ribosomal RNA", at positions 2715 to 2925 of the family's 2925-position model. The record is from RNAcentral. Lineage: Bacteria; Pseudomonadati; Pseudomonadota; Gammaproteobacteria; Moraxellales; Moraxellaceae.
UUCGGGUUGUCAUGCCAAUGGCACCGCCCGGUAGCUAAAUGCGGAAGAGAUAAGUGCUGAACGCAUCUAAGCACGAAACUUGCCCCGAGAUGAGUUCUCCCUGACUCCUUGAGAGUCCUGAAGGAACGUUGAAGACGACGACGUUGAUAGGCCGGGUGUGUAAGCGCAGCGAUGCGUUGAGCUAACCGGUACUAAUGAACCGUGAGGCUUAACCUU